Chlorocebus sabaeus (green monkey) is the source of this 111-nucleotide microRNA precursor. The record is from Ensembl. NCBI's taxonomy places the organism in Eukaryota, Metazoa, Chordata, Mammalia, Primates, Cercopithecidae.
AAAUCCCUCUGAGUGGGAUUUAACAUAAUAGUGUGGACUGAAUCACACACACAUUUCAAUCUACACUAUUAUGGUAAAUGCCACUCAGAAAUGGAGUGAGUGUUUGUGUGU